UAGGGAAUCUUCGGCAAUGGACGGAAGUCUGACCGAGCAACGCCGCGUGAGUGAAGAAGGUUUUCGGAUCGUAAAGCUCUGUUGUAAGAGAAGAACGAGUGUGAGAGUGGAAAGUUCACACUGUGACGGUAUCUUACCAGAAAGGGACGGCUAACUACGUGCCAGCAGCCGCGGUAAUACGUAGGUCCCGAGCGUUGUCCGGAUUUAUUGGGCGUAAAGCGAGCGCAGGCGGUUAGAUAAGUCUGAAGUUAAAGGCUGUGGCUUAACCAUAGUACGCUUUGGAAACUGUUUAACUUGAGUGCAAGAGGGGAGAGUGGAAUUCCAUGUGUAGCGGUGAAAUGCGUAGAUAUAUGGAGGAACACCGGUGGCGAAAGCGGCUCUCUGGCUUGUAACUGACGCUGAGGCUCGAAAGCGUGGGGAGCAAACAGGAUUAGAUACCCUGAUAGUCCACGCCGUAAACGAUGAGUGCUAGGUGUUGGACCCUUUCCGGGGUUUAGUGCCGCAGCUAACGCAUUAAGCACUCCGCCUGGGGAGUACGACCGCAAGGUUG
This 550-nucleotide ribosomal RNA is filed under the name uncultured bacterium. Its description in RNAcentral is "bacterial SSU rRNA". It matches the Rfam family "Bacterial small subunit ribosomal RNA", at positions 355 to 896 of the family's 1533-position model. The record is from RNAcentral.